This 254-nucleotide ribosomal RNA is filed under the name uncultured bacterium. Its description in RNAcentral is "partial 16S ribosomal RNA". It matches the Rfam family "Bacterial small subunit ribosomal RNA", at positions 524 to 776 of the family's 1533-position model. The record is from RNAcentral.
CACGUAGGGGGCGAGCGUUGUCCGGAUUUAUUGGGCGUAAAGAGCUCGUAGGCGGCUCGGUAAGUCAGGUGUGAAACCUCCAGGCUCAACCUGGAGACGCCACCUGAUACUGCCGUGGCUAGAGUCCGGUAGAGGAGCGUAGAAUUCCUGGUGUAGCGGUGAAAUGCGCAGAUAUCAGGAGGAAUACCAGCGGCGAAGGCGGCUCUCUGGGACGGUACUGACGCUGAGACGCGAAAGCGUGGGGAGCGAACAGG